CAGUCGCCGCGGGAAUACGUAGGUCCCGAGCGUUGUCCGGAUUUAUUGGGCGUAAAGCGAGCGCAGGCGGUUAGAUAAGUCUGAAGUUAAAGGCUGUGGCUUAACCAUAGUACGCUUUGGAAACUGUUUAACUUGAGUGCAGAAGGGGAGAGUGGAAUUCCAUGUGUAGCGGUGAAAUGCGUAGAUAUAUGGAGGAACACCGGUGGCGAAAGCGGCUCUCUGGUCUGUAACUGACGCUGAGGCUCGAAAGCGUGGGGAGCAAACAGGAUUAGAUACCCCAGUAGUCCCUGUCUCUUAUACA
RNAcentral lists this ribosomal RNA (301 nucleotides) under uncultured bacterium. RNAcentral describes it as "partial 16S ribosomal RNA". It matches the Rfam family "Bacterial small subunit ribosomal RNA", at positions 509 to 808 of the family's 1533-position model. The record is from RNAcentral.